GAUGAAGAACGUAGCGAAAUACGAUAAUUAAUGUGAAUUGCAGAAUUCCGUGAAUCAUCGAGUCUUUGAACGCACAUUGCGCCUCAUGGCAUUCCGUGAGGCAUGCCCAUCUCAGCGUUAGAAAAUAUUCUCAAAUUUUAGUUUUGUGCUAAAAUUUGGAUCAUGUCAAGGAAGCUAUUACUAUUAUUGUGAUCGCUCUUUGGAAAUUGAUAGGUCUUUGAGUUGCUACUCAUAGAACGUGAUGAAUCUUUCUUCGUUCUAUUGUAAUUCACUCUGGUAGUCCUAAAACUUGUAUGCCUGUGGCAUAUCUUGUAAUUUGACCUGAGAUUGGGUAGGGAUACCCGCUGAACUUAAGCAUAUCAAUAAGCGGAGGA
Molecule: unclassified non-coding RNA, 374 nt
Filed under: soil metagenome
Description: partial contains internal transcribed spacer 2 and large subunit ribosomal RNA
Rfam family: 5.8S ribosomal RNA (bases 1-120)
Source: RNAcentral